RNAcentral lists this ribosomal RNA (748 nucleotides) under uncultured bacterium. RNAcentral's name for it is "bacterial SSU rRNA". It matches the Rfam family "Bacterial small subunit ribosomal RNA", at positions 791 to 1512 of the family's 1533-position model. The record is from RNAcentral.
UAGUCCACGCCGUAAACGAUGAAUACUAGGUGUAGGGGUUGUCAUGACCUCUGUGCCGCCGCUAACGCAUUAAGUAUUCCGCCUGGGGAGUACGGUCGCAAGAUUAAAACUCAAAGGAAUUGACGGGGGCCCGCACAAGCAGCGGAGCAUGUGGUUUAAUUCGAAGCAACGCGAAGAACCUUACCUAGACUUGACAUCUCCUGCAUUACCCUUAAUCGGGGAAGUCGCUUCGGCGACAGGAAGACAGGUGGUGCAUGGUUGUCGUCAGCUCGUGUCGUGAGAUGUUGGGUUAAGUCCCGCAACGAGCGCAACCUUAUCGUUAGUUGCUACCAUUUAGUUGAGCACUCUAGCGAGACCUGGCCCUGGGACUUGAAGACCGGGGAGGGAAGGUUGGGGCAAUGUAACCGUCAAAUCACUUGUCAGUGCCCCUUAUGUUUAGGGCUCACAACGUGCCUACAAAUUGGGCGAAGUACAAAAGAGAAGCAAGACCGCGAGGUGGAGCAAAACUCAAAAACUUGUCUCAGUUCGGAUUGUAGGCUGGAACUCGCCUACAUGAAGCUGGAGUUGCUAGUAAUCGCGAAUCAGCAUGUCGCGGUGAAUACGUUCCCGGGCCUUGUACACACCGCCCGUCACACCAUGAGAGUUGGCAAUACCCAAAGUGCGUGAUCUAACUCGCAAGAGAGGAAGCGCCCUAAGGUAGGGGUCAGCGAUUGGGGUGAAGUCGUAACAAGGUAGCCGUAGGAGAACC